RNAcentral lists this ribosomal RNA (253 nucleotides) under uncultured bacterium. RNAcentral's name for it is "partial 16S ribosomal RNA". It matches the Rfam family "Bacterial small subunit ribosomal RNA", at positions 524 to 776 of the family's 1533-position model. The record is from RNAcentral.
UACGAAGGGGGCUAGCGUUGUUCGGGUUUACUGGGCGUAAAGCGCGUGUAGGCGGGCUGAUAAGUUGGGGGUGAAAUCCCGAGGCUCAACCUCGGAACUGCCUCCAAAACUGUCAGCCUGGAGCAAAGUAGAGGCGAGUGGAAUUGCGAGUGUAGAGGUGAAAUUCGUAGAUAUUCGCAGGAACACCAGUUGCGAAGGCGACUCGCUGGAUUUUUGCUGACGCUGAGACGCGAAAGCGUGGGGAGCAAACAGG